Triticum aestivum (bread wheat) is the source of this 1283-nucleotide RNA transcript. It is a transcript of the gene named chloroplast processing peptidase, with no coding region annotated. The transcript is spliced from 7 exons. The record is from RefSeq and is a predicted model, not a curated record. Lineage: Eukaryota; Viridiplantae; Streptophyta; Magnoliopsida; Poales; Poaceae.
UAAUACUUGUCAGGGAGCCUUCUUCUUCUUCUUGGUGGAGAGAGAGGGAGACCAAGAAGAAGAAGGGGAUGGCGAUGGCGCCGCCGCGUCUGCUGCGGGGCCUCAUCGCGCCGCUUCCGCUGUUGCCGGCCGACUGGCUGCCGUGCCAUCAGCAGCUGCUCGCCUCCGCCGCCCUCCUACACCGCUGGUGGAUCCCCUCGCUAGCGCGCCUCCGCUGCUCCGACGGAUUCAAGCUCUUCCUCGUCCUGCUCCUCGUCUCCGCCGCCCUCGCCGAGGUCCGCUACGUCGCCUCCGCCUCCAUGGCGCCCACCCUCCGCCCCGGCGACCGCGCCGUCGCAGAGAAAGUGAGCUACAGGUUCCGGCGGCCGUCUGUGGGCGACAUUGUCUUCUUCAGGGUGCCCACGGCGCUGCAGAACUGCGGCAUGAAUAAAGAUGUCGUAUUUAUUAAGAGGGUUAUUGCCACCCCUGGGGAUUUCAUCGAGGUCCGGCAAGGCCAGCUUAUUGUUAACAGUGUUGCACAGAAUGAACACUACACCGCACCCCAUGCGUCGUCGUACACGAUGGAAGCCAUGGUCCACAGAUACUUGUAUGACCAAACUACCAUGCCUCAUUAUUGCUAGACAAACAAAUGACCAUACAUACUACUACUGCAAGAGGAGGACCAAAAGUGGCAUGGCUGCUCUGUGUUGUUGACUUCCUGAGUACCCCCAUUGUUCUUUCGAAAUGAAAUGACGGGUCUCAGAUGCGCCUCCCUGAAGGCCAUGUAUUCGUCAUGGGUGAUAACCGUAAUAACAGCUGUGAUUCUCGUGCCUGGGGGGCUCUUCCUAUCAGCAACAUUCUUGGAAGAUACAUGAUGUCCUUCACAAGAUCGUCCCUCCAAUAGCCAAGGCGAAGAGCUUCGAUGACCACCAGCGUUGCCGAACACCCCCUGAUGCCACUUGAUAUGAUGUUAUCGAGCUAUGUUGGGCCUCGAGCCCUUCUUAGUAUGUAGAUCCACGAGACCUUCCUAUGCAGUGUGAUGUAGUGCUGUCUGUGUAGUAUUACUUAAUCCUGGGAAGAACUACGUAGUGACUUGGUUAGAUGUUGUCACUCACCCCUGGACUGUCAGGUGUUAGUUAAGCUUACUUGUUGGUAGAACCUGCAAAAUGUGCCUAAAGGUUUACACCUUCUAGUAAACGUAGCUGUCUGAAUCUUACCGGUAAUGUUUUAUUAUGUACCGCGUGCUUGACAUUCAGAAGUUUGCAGUGAAUAAUUGUGGUGGUUCCUUGCUGCCUGUAGAUAAA